RNAcentral lists this ribosomal RNA (497 nucleotides) under uncultured bacterium. Its description in RNAcentral is "partial 16S ribosomal RNA". It matches the Rfam family "Bacterial small subunit ribosomal RNA", at positions 28 to 507 of the family's 1533-position model. The record is from RNAcentral.
GACGAACGCUGGCGGCGUGCCUAAUACAUGCAAGUUGAGCGCUGAAGGUUGGUACUUGUACCAACUGGAUGAGCAGCGAACGGGUGAGUAACGCGUGGGGAAUCUGCCUUUGAGCGGGGGACAACAUUUGGAAACGAAUGCUAAUACCGCAUAAAAACUUUAAACACAAGUUUUAAGUUUGAAAGAUGCAAUUGCAUCACUCAAAGAUGAUCCCGCGUUGUAUUAGCUAGUUGGUGAGGUAAAGGCUCACCAAGGCGAUGAUACAUAGCCGACCUGAGAGGGUGAUCGGCCAAAUUGGGACUGAGACACGGCCCAAACUCCUACGGGAGGCAGCAGUAGGGAAUCUUCGGCAAUGGACGAAAGUCUGACCGAGCAACGCCGCGUGAGUGAAGAAGGUUUUCGGAUCGUAAAACUCUGUUGGUAGAGAAGAACGUUGGUGAGAGUGGAAAGCUCAUCAAGUGACGGUAACUACACAGAAAGGGACGGCUAACUACGUG